AUUGAACGCUGGCGGAAUGCUUUACACAUGCAAGUCGAACGGCAGCACGGGGCAACCUGGUGGCGAGUGGCGAACGGUGAGUAAUAUAUCGGAACGUGCCCAAUCGUGGGGGAUAACGUAGCGAAAGUUACGCUAAUACCGCAUACGAUCUACGGAUGAAAGCGGGGGAUCGCAAGACCUCGCGCGAAUGGAGCGGCCGAUAUCAGAUUAGGUAGUUGGUGGGGUAAAGGCUCACCAAGCCAACGAUCUGUAGCUGGUCUGAGAGGACGACCAGCCACACUGGAACUGAGACACGGUCCAGACUCCUACGGAGGCAGCAGUGGGGAAUUUUGGACAAUGGGCGCAAGCCUGAUCCAGCCAUUCCGCGUGCAGGAUGAAGGCC
Molecule: ribosomal RNA, 382 nt
Filed under: uncultured bacterium
Lineage: Bacteria
Description: bacterial SSU rRNA
Rfam family: Bacterial small subunit ribosomal RNA
Source: RNAcentral